GAUGAACGCUGGCGGCGUGCCUAAUACAUGCAAGUCGAACGCUGGAAAUCUAGCUUGCUAGAUUGAAGGAGUGGCGAGCGGGUGAGUAAUACAUAAGCAACCUACCCACUAAGACUGGGAUAAUCUCUGGAAACGGGGACUAAUACCGGAUAGGUAAUCGGAAGGCAUCUUCUGAUUAUUAAAGGUUAAAAACACUGGAGGAUGGGCUUAUGGCGCAUUAGUUAGUUGGUGAGGUAACGGCCCACCAAGACGAUGAUGCGUAGCAGGCCUGAGAGGGUGAACGGCCACAUUGAGACUGAGACACGGCCCAGACUCGUACGGGAGGCAGCAGUAGGGAAUUUUCGGCAGUGGGGGAAACCCUGACCGAGCAACGCCGCGUGAGUGAUUACGGCCUUCGGGUUGUAAAGCUCUGUUGUAAGGGAAGAACGGUAGAUAGAGAAUAUCUAAAUGACGGUACCUUACCAGAAAGCCACGGCUAACUACGUG
RNAcentral lists this ribosomal RNA (486 nucleotides) under uncultured bacterium. Its description in RNAcentral is "partial 16S ribosomal RNA". It matches the Rfam family "Bacterial small subunit ribosomal RNA", at positions 28 to 507 of the family's 1533-position model. The record is from RNAcentral.